UUUUUCUCCGUCUGGUGAACCAGCGGAGGGAUCAUUA
Molecule: ribosomal RNA, 37 nt
Filed under: Acremonium polychromum
Lineage: Eukaryota; Fungi; Ascomycota; Sordariomycetes; Hypocreales; Bionectriaceae
Description: Gliomastix polychroma partial 18S ribosomal RNA
Source: RNAcentral